UACGGAGGGUGCAAGCGUUAAUCGGAAUUACUGGGCGUAAAGCGUGCGUAGGUGGUUCGUUAAGUCCGUUGUGAAAGCCCCGAGCUCAACUUGGGAAUUGCAGUGGAUACUGGCGAGCUGGAGUGCGGUAGAGGAAGGUGGAAUUCCCGGUGUAGCGGUGAAAUGCGUAGAGAUCGGGAGGAACACCUGUGGCGAAGGCGGCCGACUGGGCCGACCCUGACGCUGAGGCGCGAAGGCGUGGGGAGCGAACGGGG
RNAcentral lists this ribosomal RNA (254 nucleotides) under uncultured bacterium. Its description in RNAcentral is "partial 16S ribosomal RNA". It matches the Rfam family "Bacterial small subunit ribosomal RNA", at positions 524 to 777 of the family's 1533-position model. The record is from RNAcentral.